GACGAACGCUGGCGGCGUGCCUAAUACAUGCAAGUUGAGCGCUGAAGGUUGGUACUUGUACCAACUGGAUGAGCAGCGAACGGGUGAGUAACGCGUGGGGAAUCUGCCUUUGAGCGGGGGACAACAUUUGGAAACGAAUGCUAAUACCGCAUAAAAACUUUAAACACAAGUUUUAAGUUUGAAAGAUGCAAUUGCAUCACUCAAAGAUGAUCCCGCGUUGUAUUAGCUAGUUGGUGAGGUAAAGGCUCACCAAGGCGAUGAUACAUAGCCGACCUGAGAGGGUGGUCGGCCACAUUGGGACUGAGACACGGCCCAAACUCCUACGGGAGGCAGCAGCAGGGAAUCUUCGGCAAUGGACGAAAGUCUGACCGAGCAACGCCGCGUGAGUGAAGAAGGUUUUCGGAUCGUAAAACUCUGUUGGUAGAGAAGAACGUUGGUGAGAGUGGAAAGCUCAUCAAGUGACGGUAACUACCCAGAAAGGGACGGCUAACUACGUG
This 497-nucleotide ribosomal RNA is filed under the name uncultured bacterium. RNAcentral's name for it is "partial 16S ribosomal RNA". It matches the Rfam family "Bacterial small subunit ribosomal RNA", at positions 28 to 507 of the family's 1533-position model. The record is from RNAcentral.